UUCAACUUCAACCACAACGUUGGUUGCCAAACAUGAUAAUCUCAGAAUACAUUUGAGGAGAAUAAGUUGAAUGUGCGUGCACGAAGAAAUGGUUAACUUCAUCCAUUCGGAACAGCUGACCGACUCGAAUACGCACCUUUCUUCCAUACCUCAGUUUCAUCAUGGCUGCCAGUUUCCGAGCUCGUCACCGAGCGCUCACUGCGAACAAAACCUUCCGAACAGACACUCGAUGGCAUCACGUCCUUUACAUGCUGAAAACACAAAGCGGACGCUUUUCUGCUAGCACAGCCGUGGUGUCCACGAAGUCACUCCGGCGUGAAGGUGUACUUCACGCUUGCUUCCGAACGUUAUUUUUUAAGCCAAAUACAUCAGAGCGGUAGCCAGUUGACCUUGAGUCAUUUGACAUCGCAUAAAUCUCAGACAGAGCACGUUACAAGCGCACUAAUUCGCAAUUAAACCUCUACCUUUUGCAGCUACCGCUGGUAAAAAAAAUGGUAGUUGCUUGGCUCGGCUAUGCCAGGAUAUACAUAGCGAAAUAUAAGACAUAGCAUGGUUAGCCAUGGUUAAUCUUGAUUGCAAGCCCAGGUUAGUCUGGUUGUCUAGCUAUGUUGCGGCGUUUAGCCAGUCGUUGGGCGCGCUGUUCGUCUGUUUCCUGGGCGAUUCGUUCCCUCUUCAUCUCGUUCCGAUGUCGAUUCCAGGCCUCCUCCUGGUUAUCAGAAUUGUCGCCGUCCAUACUGCCGUCUGAACUGUGGUUGCGGCGCACCCGAGCUCUCCUUUUCGAUCCUCCGGCAUGUUAUCAGGCAUGCGAUGCAGCUGGCGAAGCGAGCGGAGGCGAGCGCAAUGACGAGCGACGUGGUGUGACGUCAUACCAAACGACGAUGGCGGAAAGGCGCGGCGCUGAACAGCGGCGGAACACCUGUCGCUCGGUUGGUAGUGUCACCUGUCGCUCGGAACGCCUCUCGCUCGGAACGUUGGUGUCAGUUACGUAUGUUGAAGCACGUAAAAUAUUCAGUACAUAUAGUUUUCCACACCACUGGCUGCUUCCUGGGUUGUUUGUUGUUUGUCGCCUUUUUUCGCCAUGAGAAUAUAAUUUUAAAAUGUAUAUGUGAUCCUUAUCGCAUAGCGUAUCAUAUAUGAUACGCACCAAACUUUUUUUUCUCACGGAGAGAGAGUGAAACAAAAAACGUUCUGCCACAUUUUGCUUGAUCUUAUAUCCUAUCUGGCAACUACACCCGCAGUGGCUCCUUCUUCCGAAGCUAUCUUGAAUCCCAUUUGUAUGCCACAACACGUCGACGCAUUGUCGCGUUCUCAAGGCUUCGAACAGGCAAUGGAUGUCGGCACUUUUUACGGUGGAACAAGACGGGGAGUUCGGCCCAUUCCCGGUGAUGGUGACAGAAGCAGCGAUAGCGAGCUCUCGGACGACGAUGGGCAGGAACUGCUGCCGUGCCGGGCUCCAUCUGCGCUAGCAGAGGAGUCGUCUGAAAGCGAGGAUGAUAGUGAAGAUAAAGCACCUCCUUCAACAUCGACUUCUAGAGGCAAGAAAGGACCUGCGAAAUGUACACCAAAGUGGACGAACACAUGCCUUGAAAGAGACCCAAAGGAAAUUGAGUUCACUGGGAGCACCGUGAUGCCAUCGACUAUCGAGGACCUUGACACUCCCUUCCAGUUUUUCAAAUUCCUCUGUCCCGUUGAAGUGUUCAAGAUGAUUCGCGAGGAAUCGUUGCGCUACUCAGUUCAGUGUCGUCCUGAAAAGCCUCUUACAGUGAGCGUAUAGGAACUCGAAAGGUUUGUCGGAAUGGCUCUUUACAUGUCAAUCAUUCAGCUGCCAAGCACCCGAGACUACUGGAGCUCCAGCAUCGGACAUCACAAGGUUGCAGACGUGAUGUGCCUCAACCGCUGGGAAGAACUAAAACGGUUUCUUCACUUCAAUAAUAAUGAGACUUUUGUUGCCCCUGCAGAAAUUGGCCACGACAAGCUGCACAAGGUCAGACCCCUCUUGAACAAAUUGCUUGAGCAGCUGAAGAUGAUUCCGCGAGAAGAGAAACUGUGCAUCGACGAGCAAAUUGUUCCGUUCAAGGGACGAAGCUCCCUGAAGCAAUACAAUCCGAAGAAACCACACCGCUGGGGAUAUAAAGUUUUUGCUCUGAGUGGGGUGUCGGGUUUCUGCUACGAUUUUGAGGUCUUCAGUGGCGCCGCGGAAAACAAGCAGCUACCAGGUGAGCCUGACCUAGGCGCAAGCAGCAAUGUUGUCGUCAGGUUGUCUCGCACCAUUACCAGGCAAAAUAGUCACCAGUUGUUUUUUGACAACUGGUUUACUUCUUCUAUUCCUCUGCAAGUAUUUUUAGAGAACGAAGGGAUUCACUGCCUUCGCACUGUGCGGCGAAACCGUCGACCUGGCUGCACGCUCCCGAAAGAAACGAAAAAGAAAGAGAGAGGAACAUAUGAAGAAAGGGUAUGCGAAGUGUAAGGAACCAAGCUGUCUGCAGUAGCGUGGCACGACAAUAAAACCGUCACAUUGCUUUCCACGUUCGCCGGUAGUGAACCAGCGGGCGAAGUAAAACGGUACUUCGCAAAAGAAAAAGCGCACAAAAUGGUUCCCUGCCCAAAUGUUGUGUUGAUGUAUAACACACAUAUGGGUGGUGUAGACCUCCUUAACUCGAUGCUAGGCUAUUACCGAAUCAAGAUUCGAUCAAAGAAAUGGUAUCACCGUAUAUUUUUUCACCUGAUGGAUCUCACUGUGGUGAAUGCCUGGCUACUCUGGCGAAUGCAAAAAAGUGCCAAGACUCCCCUGCUUGAGUUCAAGUCUUCUGUCGCAGAAGGACUCUGCAGGGCAGGGAAGUUACAUGAAAGGAAGCGCGCAGGGAGACCCAGUACUGAAAUCGAGUCACUCAUUCAACCAAAGAGGACGACGCUGGCGCCACUGCCAACUGCUGAUGUUCGCCUCGAUAAAAUGGACCACAUGCCGCAUUGGCUUGACAAGCGAGUGCGCUGCAGGCUGCCCUCUUGCAACCACUUCACAAAUGUAUCAUGCAAAAAGUGCAAUGCGGCCCUCUGUUUCAACAGGGAGAGAAACUGCUUCGCAUCGUUUCACUAGGAGGGCAAGGUGUACUAAUCAUGCAAGCAAAUGAUAUCCUCACCCUUGCUUUAGCGAUGACAUUUGAGGGAAGCUGCAACACCAUUGUGCAAUAAAUGUUAUUUCACCAAUUUUCUAUUCGUUUUUCAAUGCCGCUUCUUUUUUCUGUUCGUAUCCUGUUUUUUUCCACGUCCAAAAAUAUUACCCCUAACUGCAUGGUGUAUCAUAUGUGAUACGCGAAGAAAAAGCUGUAAUAAAUCUAAACCGCUCAUAAUUUUUAAAAACUAAGUUUAGCUUGGGUGUUUGUGUUACAAGUCAAGGCUACUGAAAUUAUUUCACGCGAAAAAAAAAUUCAUGCAGUAAGGGGUUAAGGUACAAAAACCUCAUACUUAGUUAUGAGAGACGUCAUGCAGGAAAAAUAAGCUCUGUAGUUUCACUUCUCAAAGCUAUCAUCUGAUUAUGAGGCAUAUCAUUUUUGAAGACUCUCGGUGAACGUGGACCGACUAGGGUUCGCUACCAUCCAUUUAUAUCUGAAUACGCAAGCACUUUCGCAUUCUGACCCCAUCGAAAUGCAGCCUCCGCGGCUGGGAUCCCACCAUCGACAUUGUACCCAACAGAAGAACCUGAUAGCCACUCAGUAACAACGGCAGUCCGUCAAGUAAAGAAGUGAACAGAACGUGUACUGACACAUUUAUUCCUUAAGGCUUCACAUAGGUUUCCAUUUGUAGCUGUAAACAAUCGUAAACAUUCUUAGAUAACUAGCAUUUCAUUCCAUUCUGUCGCUUGAGCACUCGUGUGCACCGAUACUCAUGCGCUAUAAACCAUUUUACACACGUUUUAAGAUGCAAAUUGGCCUAUAACAGGCGCUCUUAUGCCAUCAAAGGUGUAAAUGCGAGUAUUCUCGGCAGAAAACACUCUUAAAGGUGUCAAUCGAUUUACAGUAUACCAUGCAUCGUUGUUCCCGAAGUGCUCCCUGCCUCUCUACUCAUGGCUUCUGUUUUCGUCUCGCGCAACCUUGUAUCGCUCGAGCAAUCCGAAACGCCAUGCUGGGAAUAAUGUGUCAGCUCUUCUUAUUCAGACCCCAACGUGGUUUAGUCGGCCAACUCAGAAACACAGAAGUCGGUACAGGCAUUGCGCGUCUCGAAGUUGUUUCCGUUGCUCUUGCAGCCUCCGUAGAUGAAUGGGUGGCAGGAAUUCGUCUUGGGUUCGUAGUAGAAGCGUGGGAAGUAUGCCAUACAAGGGCCAGUGUAAGCUGGUCUCCCGCACACGUCUGCAACU
Dermacentor albipictus is the source of this 4351-nucleotide long non-coding RNA. RefSeq lists it as uncharacterized. NCBI's taxonomy places the organism in Eukaryota, Metazoa, Arthropoda, Arachnida, Ixodida, Ixodidae. The record is from RefSeq and is a predicted model, not a curated record.